This is a long non-coding RNA of Melanotaenia boesemani (Boeseman's rainbowfish), 639 nucleotides long. RefSeq lists it as uncharacterized. NCBI's taxonomy places the organism in Eukaryota, Metazoa, Chordata, Actinopteri, Atheriniformes, Melanotaeniidae. The transcript is spliced from 3 exons. The record is from RefSeq and is a predicted model, not a curated record.
UUCUUUUGGCAGUGUGGGCAGGUGCCAAGUCCUGCUGGAUAAUAAAGUCAGAAUCUUCUGAUGUGUUUUGUUCAGGAGCGGCUUGAUAAGAGAAAUUCGACAUUUAAAGUCCAUGUCCAGGAUCCGUCUGUGUGUGGUGGCUCUCGAAGCUCUAACUCCAGCCUCACUCCUUGUGAAGCUCCCCCAUAUUUUUUAAUAGAGUUUUCCUGAUGACCCUCUCCAGGGUGCAGUCAUCCCUGCUGGUGUUGCCACCUUUUUCUUUUCCCUUCCACUCAACUUUUUAUUGAUGUGCUUUGAUGCAGCACUUUGAGAGCAUCCAACUUCUUUUGCAAUUACCUCUUUGAGCUUCCGCUCCUUGUGGAGGGUGUCAUUGAUGGUUUUCUGCACAACUGUCAGCCACACAAAUGCACCCUUCAUCCAUCCUGACUGCAGCAUUGGACAUCCAUCUUCUAAAGCUGUAGUCCCAUGCUCAUGUCUCUGUCACAGCUGAUUGACUGCCACUCACAGCUGACUGGACCUCACAGCUUUCUCUUUUGUCUCUGUGACUAACUUAACCCUGCCUAGUAUCUCUCUGCAUGAGCACAUCCAUGAAUAUUGAUGAACAGAGGACCCACAUGUUGAAAUGGAGGUAAAGAAAGG